UACACUAGGAUGUGUCUGGGUUCUGUUAAUGAAGGACCGUUUUACAAAUUCUGUCAAGAUAUAGAAGGAAUGGAGAGUAAGGAUAUAAUUUUACACUGUAAAGUUGCUAAAACGGUUGACUAGUAAUAGCAACAUGCAACCAGCAGAUGGCAGCGUUGUUUCGUUAUAGGGAGUCAGUAUCAAAGAGCUGACGAACAAAAACUGUGCUAGUCACAGACCAAGCACAAGACGAGACCAUUUUCUAUUAGAUAAGCAAUGAAAGAAUAAAUCUGUCUUCUAUUCUCUACAGAUGAUGAACACUUCUUCAAGCGAGUAACAAUAGAAAACCAUUAAGCUACUUUGCAAUGUAAUGAAUAAUUUUGUCACAGGCAAAACACAAUGUCUCAAUCAAGGACACACAGUCUCUGUAGGAAUCAAUGAAUGGUGGAGAUAUUCACUAAGGCAGCGACACACAAUACAGUUUUUUCAGAUAAGCAGAAAACUACACUCGUCUAUCUCUAUAACUGAGCCAUGAUAUGCCGGAAACUGGAAUAUGAUACCAGAGAGAAGAUCCAGUGGGACUGAAACCAUACAUCCACCUUAAAUAGAUGUCUAAACCAUGACCUUGAAUAAAAGUGAACACAGAGAGCUCAGCAGCAUCUGACACAGUUUCCUGGACAGCAUAUGCAUUAUGAGGUUGCAAUAAGAUGUUACUUAUAACUGCUAACAUGAAAAUCCAUUACAAGCUCAGCAUUACAAAGUGUUCCUAUGCAGGUCAAGUAGCACCCCAGUGGGUGAUAAUCUGUAUCACUGAACGAAUGAGGUCAUAAAAAUGAUGCAAUCCCCGUGUGUCUAAAGUGUGUGUCCGUAUUUGUGUGGGAGUGUGUGUACGAUUAUCCUCAUUUACUUUGCUCCAGUUCUUCUUCAUCAGACUGACUCAGGGGACCAGAAAGAGGAGAAGAAAGCACUUCUGACCUUAAACCAGACUUAAAUGCCACUUUUAUUUAUGGGUGAUUCCUGUUUAUUGAACUUCUACACUCUCAAAAGACACAGGCCCCGCUGAGUCAUAGUCGGUCAUAUUUUCUCAUUAAUUUUCAGUUAUUAAGGGUUUUUUCACCGGAAGGGCCCAAAUUGCUGAUUAAAGGUAAGUGGAAAUGGCUGCUUGAAAGGGCAAUUAGAACAUUUUAAUCACAAAGAGUGGGAAAUAAAACUGGUGCCAUCUAAAUGACGUUUAUAAUUUGAACAACAAGAAGCAGAAGAUUAUUUUUCAGAGGAUUUUAUUCCUUUAAAAAUAAAGGGUAAACAUAAAGCUUCAGGAUAUAUAGGUAACAUAAUUUCAGAUUUCUCUAUAAAACAUUUUCUGAUAAGUUUGCAUCACUGGAGAAAAAUCAGCUUUUUAACUUUUUUUUUAACUUUUACUUUUACUUUGUCUUAUCUUUAAAUUCUCCCCUCACCUCAGAAUAUAUAAAAGUUGUUAUGAAUGCAGUAGCAGUGUGCAGAAUGUAGCAUCUCCUUCCCAGAGACGCAAGGCCUUGAUCAAAAACAAUGUGUGCAUAUACAGUAGCAUGUGGCAGGGAGCUAGUCUUUGAAGAAAAGACCUGCCAACCCCACAGAGAGCAGCUAUAAUUUCCUGUACAGCAACAGCAGUACUGAAAUAUGCUUAUCCACUGUGACCAAUUAGAGACAGUUUCCAUCACAGAGGGAUCCUGACUCAGGCUUUCCUCACCAAGAAGCAAACGUGCUCUGCAGAGUGGGGAGUGCCAGCAAGAGACAACACAGCACGCAGCAGGGAAAGCUGCCUUAAUCAGGGUGAAAAUGACGUUGAUGAGACAGAUUUGAGAGAGCAGAGAAGAUCUACUGGCAGGCCAAACAAUCAUCAGUGGAGCCAUAAAGUGGAUCUGGCCAGGGCCAAAAGCCAGAGGGGUCACCACAGUGGAUCAUCUGCCACCUCACCCUAUCCCUAGCAUCCUCUUCUGUCACACCAACCCUCUGCAUGUCCUCCUUCAUCACAUGCGUGAAUUUUCUAUUUUCCUCCUGCCCGGCACCUCCAUAUUCAACAAACUUUGUCCAGUAUAUCCAACUUUGUCUUCAAAACGUUCAAUGUUUCUGUCAGAGUGCUACAAAGAUUGAUGCUAAUAUUAAACAUGACCAACAUUUCAAAUAAUGAGGUCAGCGUCUGUGCAAGUAGUCCCUAUGAGCAAGCUCCAGCUUCAAGCUUCAAACACAGUUUCUGAACAUGUAUCCUUAGUAUGGCUUUCUCAGUGCUCACUGCUCUACCUUAGAACACAAAGGCCCCACCCACUUAGUGUUCAAACCUUCUGUUUGAGAGGGCGAGCCAAUCAGAAGCAGUUUAACAAAAAAUGAGCAAAAAUGAAGAGAAACCUGAGUGGAUGAAGUUAAGGUAAGACAAAUGAAGUCAACUCAUUAGAAUUACACACAAUUCAGCAGUUAUAACGAGCAACAGUACACAAUGUAUUACAAAGACUUGUCUCAUAAAAGAAGUGUACAAUGUAUGCGUCAUUCACUAACCAUGGUGAUACAACGAAACAACAUAACGCCACGGGCUAUAUUAAAAAAAAAAAAGUGUUUAUGUAAGCAUGAAUCAUCCUUAAGAGACCUCAAGGGUUUCAUAUUAGACGAAGCGUUUUACACCUGUCCCCUGCUGCUCGACUGUAGCUGAGGAAAACAACUUUGUGCGCCAUGGCAGUGAUACUGGC
Long non-coding RNA from Oreochromis aureus, 2696 nucleotides. RefSeq lists it as uncharacterized. The record is from RefSeq and is a predicted model, not a curated record. NCBI's taxonomy places the organism in Eukaryota, Metazoa, Chordata, Actinopteri, Cichliformes, Cichlidae. The transcript has 3 exons.